AUAAGCUUUUAUUGUGAAGGUUCAAAAGCGGAAAUAAUAUUUUUGUGUUGCACCUCCUCAGAACUGUGUUUUCAGCAAAGGGGUCCUGACCUCCCACUAGUUCUUACUUACAAGGUUCCUAACUAUCUGUCCUUGAUGUAAACAAUUGAUUGACCAACAAUCUUGACGUUGUCGCUUCAUCUUCCCUUGCACUUUGUGACAUAUUUGCGACAUUAUACGACACGAAUAGAGACACUUGCAUCCAACCACGUUCCCAGAUUGGUUGGUAGCAGACGUUAUACAAAGUAAUGUUAGCUAGCUAUUGCCACAUCUUGUAUUUUUCAGUGGUUGACUUGUAACGUUAGUAGCUAACUGGUUAGCUAAUAAUAGCUCAUGUCAUAACAAGUCUGAUCUAAAGUUGCAGUGCUGUUGUAUUCAAGGAAAACGUCGGCCAUCUAAUGACAAUGGUGCACAUUCUUAGAAGCUAAGAAAAGCACAAACGCGACUGAACUACAGUGACAGGCAUCCGCUCUCUCCCCAGCCAUGGCUGGUCUCCCCCACAGAAGGUUGCGUCUGAGGACUGCUCUCAGGUGGCUGAGUCCACUCAGCACUGCCUGACCUCCAGCCGUGGUCAGAACUUUACCCCCAGGCUUUAGCAGCGGCCUGCUCCAGACACCCAGGCCCGGGUCUUGUGGCGUCCGCUGUCGGGAGCUCCAUGCUGGGGGAGAGAGACCCACCCCGUCCCCCGCAGCUGCCCCAGAGAGGAGGCCUUUCUCCAGGGUUUCAGUGAGGUUCUGCUGAGGCCCCAGACUACAGAGGAAGUUUCUCAGAUCCUUGGGUACUGUAACAGUCGUAACCUGGCAGUGAGUCCUCAGGGUGGUAACACAGGGCUGGUGGGAGGCAGUGUUCCUGUCUAUGAUGAGAUCAUCCUCUCUACCGCUCUCAUGAACAACGUCCUCAACUUCGACUCUGUCUCCGGUCAGUAUCGUCUGUAACUCUAGGGUAACUGUCAGUAUUCUUUGGUCAGUUACGCAUCAAAUUUCCUGUUCAAUUCUCAAAGUUUUGCCCUAGUGUUUUACAGUCCAGCUAUGCCUGUUGAAAUUCAACUAAC
Oncorhynchus mykiss (rainbow trout) is the source of this 1090-nucleotide non-coding RNA. NCBI's taxonomy places the organism in Eukaryota, Metazoa, Chordata, Actinopteri, Salmoniformes, Salmonidae. The record is from RefSeq and is a predicted model, not a curated record.